UCCUACGGGAGGCAGCAGUGAGGAAUAUUGGUCAAUGGUCGGGAGACUGGACCAGCCAAGCCGCGUGAGGGAUGAAGGUACAGAGUAUCGUAAACCUCUUUUGUCAGGGAACAAAGGCGGGGACGCGUCCCCGGAUGAGUGUACCUGAAGAAAAAGCAUCGGCUAACUCCGUGCCAGCAGCCGCGGUAAUACGGAGGAUGCGAGCGUUAUCCGGAUUUAUUGGGUUUAAAGGGUGCGCAGGCGGUCUGUUAAGUCAGCGGUCAAAGCCCGGGGCUCAACCCCGGCCCGCCGUUGAAACCGGCAGU
This 305-nucleotide ribosomal RNA is filed under the name uncultured bacterium. Its description in RNAcentral is "bacterial SSU rRNA". It matches the Rfam family "Bacterial small subunit ribosomal RNA", at positions 337 to 640 of the family's 1533-position model. The record is from RNAcentral.